This 290-nucleotide long non-coding RNA is filed under the name Cavia porcellus (domestic guinea pig). RNAcentral describes it as "lncRNA (ENSCPOG00000038369.1)". The record is from RNAcentral. Lineage: Eukaryota; Metazoa; Chordata; Mammalia; Rodentia; Caviidae.
GGAUUUCGACAUGUGCAGCAGGAAAGGUAGAGCUUGCUCCUUAGGUAUCCUGCACUCAAAAGAACACAAGGAGUGGAACGCAGCAAGAAACAUGCUGGAUGUAAAUGGUCUGGUGCUGUCCCCACUGGGUGCAGUCAUCUGAGUGGAGAUGGUGGCAUACAGCGCUCAAGGGAAGACUCACCAGGAAAGGCAAGUGUAGCAGAACUGGAUCAACCAUUCACAAUCAGGCUUCUUUGCAACAAUAACUGAUGGCAUCAAAUAAAUAUUGAAAGGAAGAAGAAAGAAAACAG